RNAcentral lists this ribosomal RNA (520 nucleotides) under uncultured Archaeospora. RNAcentral describes it as "SSU rRNA". It matches the Rfam family "Eukaryotic small subunit ribosomal RNA", at positions 569 to 1093 of the family's 1831-position model. Lineage: Eukaryota; Fungi; Glomeromycota; Glomeromycetes; Archaeosporales; Archaeosporaceae. The record is from RNAcentral.
AGCAGCCGCGGUAAUUCCAGCUCCAAUAGCGUAUAUUAAAGUUGUUGCAGUUAAAAAGCUCGUAGUUGAAUUUUAGGCCUGGCCGGGCGGUCCGUCUUUGGCGAGUACUGUCUUGUUGUCGGGUCUUCCUUCUGGUGAACCAGUAUGUCCUUUAUUGGGUGUGUUGGGGAGCCAGGACCAUUACCUUGAAAAAUUAGAGUGUUUAAAGCGGGCUAUUGCUUGAAUAGAUUAGCAUGGAAUAAUAGAAUAGGACGUUGUGGUUCUAUUUUGUUGGUUUCUAGGACCACCGUAAUGAUUAAUAGGGAUAGUUGGGGGCAUUAGUAUUCAAUUGUCAGAGGUGAAAUUCUUGGAUUUAUUGAAGACUAACUAUUGCGAAAGCAUUUGCCAAGGAUGUUUUCAUUAAUCAAGAACGAAAGUUAGGGGAUCGAAGACGAUCAGAUACCGUCGUAGUCUUAACCAUAAACUAUGCCGACUAGGAAUCGGGCGACGUUAUUUUAAUGACUCGCUCGGCGCCUUAUGG